This 1444-nucleotide ribosomal RNA is filed under the name uncultured organism. RNAcentral's name for it is "16S ribosomal RNA". It matches the Rfam family "Bacterial small subunit ribosomal RNA". The record is from RNAcentral.
ACGCUAGCUACAGGCUUAACACAUGCAAGUCGAGGGGCAGCAUAGUCUUAGCUUGCUAAGGCCGAUGGCGACCGGCGCACGGGUGAGUAACACGUAUCCAACCUGCCGUCUACUCUUGGACAGCCUUCUGAAAGGAAGAUUAAUACAAGAUGGCAUCAUGAGUCCGCAUGUUCACAUGAUUAAAGGUAUUCCGGUAGACGAUGGGGAUGCGUUCCAUUAGAUAGUAGGCGGGGUAACGGCCCACCUAGUCUUCGAUGGAUAGGGGUUCUGAGAGGAAGGUCCCCCACAUUGGAACUGAGACACGGUCCAAACUCCUACGGGAGGCAGCAGUGAGGAAUAUUGGUCAAUGGGCGAGAGCCUGAACCAGCCAAGUAGCGUGAAGGAUGACUGCCCUAUGGGUUGUAAACUUCUUUUAUAAAGGAAUAAAGUCGGGUAUGGAUACCCGUUUGCAUGUACUUUAUGAAUAAGGAUCGGCUAACUCCGUGCCAGCAGCCGCGGUAAUACGGAGGAUCCGAGCGUUAUCCGGAUUUAUUGGGUUUAAAGGGAGCGUAGAUGGAUGUUUAAGUCAGUUGUGAAAGUUUGCGGCUCAACCGUAAAAUUGCAGUUGAUACUGGAUAUCUUGAGUGCAGUUGAGGCAGGCGGAAUUCGUGGUGUAGCGGUGAAAUGCUUAGAUAUCACGAAGAACUCCGAUUGCGAAGGCAGCCUGCUAAGCUGCAACUGACAUUGAGGCUCGAAAGUGUGGGUAUCAAACAGGAUUAGAUACCCUGGUAGUCCACACGGUAAACGAUGAAUACUCGCUGUUUGCGAUAUACUGCAAGCGGCCAAGCGAAAGCGUUAAGUAUUCCACCUGGGGAGUACGCCGGCAACGGUGAAACUCAAAGGAAUUGACGGGGGCCCGCACAAGCGGAGGAACAUGUGGUUUAAUUCGAUGAUACGCGAGGAACCUUACCCGGGCUUAAAUUGCAGAUGAAUUACGGUGAAAGCCGUAAGCCGCAAGGCAUCUGUGAAGGUGCUGCAUGGUUGUCGUCAGCUCGUGCCGUGAGGUGUCGGCUUAAGUGCCAUAACGAGCGCAACCCUUGUUGUCAGUUACUAACAGGUUCCGCUGAGGACUCUGACAAGACUGCCAUCGUAAGAUGUGAGGAAGGUGGGGAUGACGUCAAAUCAGCACGGCCCUUACGUCCGGGGCUACACACGUGUUACAAUGGGGGGUACAGAGGGCCGCUACCACGCGAGUGGAUGCCAAUCCCCAAAACCUCUCUCAGUUCGGACUGGAGUCUGCAACCCGACUCCACGAAGCUGGAUUCGCUAGUAAUCGCGCAUCAGCCACGGCGCAGUGAAUACGUUCCCGGGCCUUGUACACACCGCCCGUCAAGCCAUGGGAGCCGGGGGUACCUGAAGUGCGUAACCGCGAGGAGCGCCCUAGGGUAAAACUGGUGACUGGGGC